RNAcentral lists this ribosomal RNA (449 nucleotides) under uncultured bacterium. RNAcentral's name for it is "partial 16S ribosomal RNA". It matches the Rfam family "Bacterial small subunit ribosomal RNA", at positions 29 to 523 of the family's 1533-position model. The record is from RNAcentral.
AACGAACGCUGGCGGCAGGCCUAACACAUGCAAGUCGAACGGGAUCUUCGGAUCUAGUGGCGGACGGGUGAGUAACGCGUGGGAACGUGCCCUUUGGUUCGGAAUAGCCCCGGGAAACUGGGAGUAAUACCGGAUAAGCCCUACGGGGGAAAGAUUUAUCGCCAAAGGAGCGGCCCGCGGUGGAUUAGGUAGUUUGUGAGGUAAUGGCUCACCAAGGCGACGAUCCAUAGCCGGUUUGAGAGGAUGAUAAGCCACACUGGGACUGAGACACGGCCGAGACUCCAACGGGAGGCGGCAGUGGGGAAUCUUGGACAAUGGGGGAAACCCUGAUCUGGCCAUGCCGCGUGAUCGAUGAAGGCCUUAGGGUUGUAAAGGUCUUUCAGUGGGGAAGAUAAUGACUGUACCCACAGAAGAAGCCCCGGCUGACUCCGUGCCAGCCGCCGCCGUAA